AGAGUUUGAUCCUGGCUCAGAAUGAACGUUGGCGGCGUGGAUUAGGCAUGCAAGUCGCGCGACAAGCUGUUCUGCUUGCAGAACGGUGGAGGAGCGGCGAAAGGGAGAGUGACGCGUGGGUUAUCAACCCUCAGGACCGGGAUAGCGGCGGGAAACUGCCGGUAAUACCGGAUAAUGUCUCCGGACCAAAUGGUGCGAUUCCUCCUGAGGACGAGCCCGCGUCCUAUUAGCUUGUUGGUAGGGUAAUGGCUUACCAAGGCUACGAUGGGUACCGGGCGUGAGAGCGUGGCCCGGCUCACUGGGACUGAGACACUGCCCAGACACCUACGGGUGGCUGCAGUCGAGAAUAUUCGGCAAUGGACGCAAGUCUGACCGAGCGACGCCGCGUGCGGGAUGAAGGUCUUCGGAUUGUAAACCGCUGUCAGAGGGGAUGAAAUGCUAUGGGGUCCUCUCCAUAGUUUGACAUAGCCUCAGAGGAAGGGCGGGCUAAGUUCGUGCCAGCAGCCGCGGUAAGACGAACCGCCCAAACGUUAUUCGGAAUCACUGGGCUUAAAGGGUAUGUAGGCGGCAUGGUCAGUUGGGUGUGAAAUCCCUCGGCUUAACCGAGGAAUUGCGCCCAAUACUGCCAAGCUCGAGGGAGACAGGGGUAAGCGGAACUGAUGGUGGAGCGGUGAAAUGCGUUGAUAUCAUCAGGAACAC
RNAcentral lists this ribosomal RNA (699 nucleotides) under uncultured bacterium. RNAcentral describes it as "bacterial SSU rRNA". It matches the Rfam family "Bacterial small subunit ribosomal RNA", at positions 8 to 709 of the family's 1533-position model. The record is from RNAcentral.